CGCCAGGGGCUCGGGGCUGGCCCGCGGGGAGGACUCGGUGGAGGAGAGCAGAGAGUCCGAGGACGAGGAGAAGGCGGUGGAGUCAGGCAGACUGCAGAGGAGCCCAGGGAAGAGGAAUUGCUGGGGGAAAAAAUGGUUCAGAGGUGUUUAUUCAACCGCAUAGGAGAUGGUGAAGAUUAACCCAUCACUACUUAUUGGCAGUCAACAUCACCCUAUGGAGAACCGGUGCUAUUUAUGGGAAACGUGAAAUAAUUCACAAGUACCUCUACGAAAAAAAUUUCCAACAAAACUCUAAAGCAGCAAAACAAGUUGUAGCCCACACAACUUUUAACCACCCUUUAAAUUAAUCACCAAGUUUGCAGCAAGACACUGGAUUUAGUGGGGAAGGGGAGACGGUGGAAGGUAGAGGAUAUUUGGCUUUAUUAUUUUUUUUAAUUAAAAAUUGGGCUGAUGAAUAAUAAACACGUUUUGAUAGUGAAGAGGGGUGUUUGAGAUCCCAUUGAAAACAUGUGAACGCUCAGGACCAUUUUAUAAAACAUUUCAAUACUAAAAAGACUGCAACAGAAGUCAAAGUAAAUGUGAAGGAAAUUUGU
Non-coding RNA from Microcebus murinus (gray mouse lemur), 593 nucleotides. The record is from RefSeq and is a predicted model, not a curated record. NCBI's taxonomy places the organism in Eukaryota, Metazoa, Chordata, Mammalia, Primates, Cheirogaleidae.